CAGCCAGACUCCUACGGGAGGCAGCAGUGGGGAAUAUUGCACAAUGGGGGAAACCCUGAUGCAGCGACGCCGCGUGAGCGAUGAAGUAUUUCGGUAUGUAAAGCUCUAUCAGCAGGGAAGAAAAUGACGGUACCUGACUAAGAAGCCCCGGCUAACUACGUGCCAGCAGCCGCGGUAAUACGUAGGGGGCAAGCGUUAUCCGGAUUUACUGGGUGUAAAGGGAGCGUAGACGGCGGUGCAAGCCAGAUGUGAAAGCCUGGGGCUCAACCCCGGGACUGCAUUUGGAACUGUGCUGCUAGAGUGUCGGAGAGGCAGGCGGAAUUCCUAGUGUAGCGGUGAAAUGCGUAGAUAUUAGGAGGAACACCAGUGGCGAAGGCGGCCUGCUGGACGAUGACUGACGUUGAGGCUCGAAAGCGUGGGGAGCAAACAGGAUUAGAUACCCUAGUA
Molecule: ribosomal RNA, 447 nt
Filed under: uncultured bacterium
Lineage: Bacteria
Description: partial 16S ribosomal RNA
Rfam family: Bacterial small subunit ribosomal RNA
Source: RNAcentral